RNAcentral lists this ribosomal RNA (503 nucleotides) under uncultured bacterium. RNAcentral describes it as "partial 16S ribosomal RNA". It matches the Rfam family "Bacterial small subunit ribosomal RNA", at positions 29 to 523 of the family's 1533-position model. The record is from RNAcentral.
AACGAACGCUGGCGGCGUGUUUAAGACAUGCAAGUCGCACGGGAUAAGACAUGUAGUAAUACUUGUUUUAUUUAGUGGCGCACGGAUGAGUAACACGUGAAUUACAUGCCCUAUAGUGGGGAAUAGCCCAGGGAAACUUGGAUUAAUACCCCAUGGUAUCGAAAGAUUAAAGGUGGCCGCAAGGCUGUCGCUAUAGGAUUGGUUCGCGCCCUAUCAGCUUGUUGGUGAGGUAACGGCUCACCAAGGCAAUAACGGGUACCUGGUCUGAGAGGGCGAUCAGGCACACUGGAACUGAGACACUGUCCAGACACCUACGGGUGGCAGCAGUCGAGAAUAAUUCACAAUGGGGGCAACCCUGAUGGUGCAACGCCGCGUGGAGGAUGACGGUCUUCGGAUUGUAAACUCCUGUCAUCUGGGAGAAAGACCUGACGGUAAAUAGCCGGCAGGGUUGAUAGUACCAGAAGAGGAAGGGACGGCUAACUUCGUGCCAGCAGCCGCCGUAA